CGGUCAUAAAUCAAAAUUUUUAUAUAUCACAAACUAUUUUGCGGUCACAAUUCAAAAAUUCAAUAGGUCACAAUUUGUUCAUUGGUUACGAAUCAGAAAAUUUUAUAUGUCACAAAUUAUUUAUUAGUCACAGAUUACAAAUAUUAUAAGUCACAGUUUAUUAAACAGCCACAAAUUAACAAAUUUUUUAGGUCACAUUUUUUUUUUCACAAUUCCUCUUGUUUCACUGGUCACAUGUUUAUCGGUCACAGAUAAAAUGAUCCGUGACUGCCACCAACACUUAUGACCACCACCCCACCACUGCUGCAGCUGUAUUGACGUCACAACUGCCACUUCCAAAGCAACCACCACCAUGUCCCGGUGGCCUUGUCACCACCAACACAAAAUCACUAAAAAGUUACCACAAAACAACCUAAAUCCAUCCCAAAAAAGAAACACCACAAACCACGAAUCCAUCCCUGUCCGUCGCGCACAAUACCAAUCUCGCCGUGGGCGACGAAAGCAAGUACCUGCUGACGGGGGUUGAGCUAGAAGACAAGAAUCAUGGGGGCAAAUUUCAUAAAUUGGCAAAAUGUAAAAAAUAUAAGGACUUUUAAAAAAAAUAAAUUAAAAUUUGGUUCAAAACAACAAAUUUUGUAAAAAACCAUGGGGGCAGUGGGUUGUAAAUCCGCCCCUGCCUACCGAUGAAAAGAACGAAGAAAAAGGAAGAUGAUUG
RNAcentral lists this long non-coding RNA (715 nucleotides) under Olea europaea (common olive). RNAcentral describes it as "long non-coding RNA (OEUR_LNC001995)". The record is from RNAcentral. Lineage: Eukaryota; Viridiplantae; Streptophyta; Magnoliopsida; Lamiales; Oleaceae.